GGGGUGAGUGGUGUGUAGUGCGGGUCCACGCGGUGCCGCGGAGCAGGGAGUCGGCUGUGUGUGUGAGCGGUGGGCGGCGGCCCGGAGGGUGUCGCAGGAGGGUCGGACGGUCACCGAUGGGACGUGGCACCAUGGCUGAUGGAGCGGAGGCACUGGAGGCCCGUGGGCCGGGCAGUGCCCAGGAGGCUACCACCCUGUCUACCAUCGCUGUGCAGAGCGGCACCACGCGCAUUGUCAUCGCCCUGCUGCAGAACAAGGAGUGGGUGGAGCUCAAGUGUCUGGAGAUGACUCCCGAGCUCAGUCAUCUGGCGCCCUCUCUGGAGGAGGCACAACAACUUCAGCAACAGCACGAGGAAGUCCUCCAGAAACUGGCGAGCAAGGAGUCGCCGGUGGAGGAGCUGCUGAACCAGGCCGACCAGCUGAUCGCCCGGCAGGACACCAAGGCCUCCACCUACUCGGCGAUGGCCGAGAGCCUGGCAAUGGCCUGGCGCGAGCUCAAUGCCCAGCUGGAGCAGCGCAGACAGGUGCUGGCGCAGUGCGUCCGAUUCCACAGACGGUCGCGUAACUUCAGUGACGUCAUGGACCUGGCAGAUGGCGUGUUCGGCGACGUUUCGAUUCCGACCGAGCCAGCCGAGGCCGAGGAGGCCAUCCGACGGCUGCUCGAUGUACGAAAAGGUGUGCUGGAGGGCUCUAUGCUGACACUGCAGGAGGGCAAUCUUCUGCUGGAGAAGCUUCGCCUUCUGGCCACCAGGGGCACGGUCGACUCACGGCCCAACCAAAUACGAACGGCGCUGCAAACAUCCUGUGUUCAGGUGGAGCGGUGGAUGGAGUCAUUACACGACCGGCGCCGGCUGGUGGACGUGCUCUUCACCAACCGGCGACACAUCCUGGAGCAGUGCCUGGCGCUGGCCGGGUUCCACGCCGACCUAGACGAGGUGGAGCGUCGCGCUGAACAGAGUCGCCGUCAGCUGCUGUCCGCGUGUGAGCUGGGCGACUCGGCCAGCUCCGCCGAAAUUCUGCUGUAUGAACACGCUAAAAUGGAGGCUCAGGCCAAGUCGAUCCAGGACCGCGGCUUGCACCUGCUGCGGGCCGCCGAGGGUCUGGUGCAGAGCGGUACGUUCGCCCGUGACCAGCCCCGCACCCGGGCCUACACGGUGCUGGAGAGGUGCUCGCAGCUGGUGGGGGCCGCCGAGCGCCGAGCGGGCCUGCUGACCGCCGCCGCCGAGUUCUUCAGACUCGCCCAGCAGGCCUCCGACCGCCUCCUGCAGCUGGAGGCGGACCUGCAGGCGGCCCCGGCGGCCGACCAGGGGGCCACCCUGGGCCGGAUCUCGCGCGCCCUGCGAGAGACCGCUGAGCCGGCACUGAUUAGAGGAGAGCAGAUUCUGUCCGAGGCCGGUCACGGUCAGCCGGGCACUGAGGGCGUGACCCGGUGUCUGGACGACCUCCGCCGGCGGCUAGCGACCCUCACCACCCGCUGUCAGAGUAUCCAGCAAUCGCAGCAGCGGCACAAGCAGUCACACGCCGACUUCUUCGACAAGUACAGCCUGCUGUACGGGUGGCUCUCGAACACGGCUGACUCGUUCCUGCGCAGUCACUAUGAGCUGGGCACCUCGCUGGGUCAGGUGAACCAGUUUGUCACCGUACACGAGCAGAUGCAGCGCGAUGUGAUGUCUAAGGGUGAGGAGAUCGACAGUCUGCUGUUCGGCGUGGCCGACGUGGUGCGACACAUGGACCGGGGCCAGGCCAGAGAGCUGGAAGAGAAGACGGCCGACCUGCGGUCUCAGUGGACCGCCCUGCAGCAGGUCAUCGACAGCCGCCUGGACCUGUCUAGGGUGUACCAGCGGUUCCACCAGCAGACGGAGCCGCUUCGGAACUCUGUGGCGCAGCUCAACUCGACCCUGUCGGGCGGCUCUCUGAGUGACGAGCAGCUGAGGAAGCUGGAGGACCAGUGGAUGAACAUGCAGCAGCAGUACCACCAGCUGGCCGCCGUCGGACAGAGGUUCAUCGACAGGUCCUAUCAGGUGCGCGAUCCGUACCUGGACGUGGCGGCGGCGCGCUCGUGCGUGGAGGCUAUCGUGGAGCAGCUGCGGGCGGGUCAUCUGACGAUCACGGAGAACUACGAGCGUGUUCAGCUGACCACCACCACCAUCAAACGGGUGCAGAGACAGUGGGAGCGGGUGCAGCGAGACGCCAGGAAGGUGGAGGAGUCGGUGACUUACCUGGAGUCACAGCUGUACCCGAUCCUGCGCGAGACGGGCCUGUCUCUGGACCAGCGCCAGAGGCAGUGUGAGGACAGGAUGGACCGGGUGCUGCCCCUGCUGCGGCAGGCCCAGGCAGACGUGCAGCAGAUGGAACAGACGGCGCAGAAGGUCUGCGAAAAAGGAGCCGGCGAAACAUCGAGAUCUGCCGAGCGACUGUCUCGGGAGCUCAACACCAGGAAGAACCACCUCACAAAGUGUGUGACGGACUACCAGAACCUUCUGCAGAUGAUAGUCUCCUACCUCAGGAAACUGAAAGACGUGGAAUCGAGCGUUCAGAAGAGGAAGCACCUGGAUUCCUCCCGUCCUCUACCCAAAGAGACAGAGGAGUGCCAGCAGGCGCUGAAGGACCUUGAGACCACGCAGAACGCCUUCAACGAGCUCUUCAGACUGGCCGGCGAGGAGCUCGAGUGUGUGGCGGAGCGUCUCAGACAGGUGGAACCUCCGUCUGCGGCUGACCACGACAUCAGUCAGCUGAGGGAGGCACUCGACAAAGAGUCGAACAGCGCCAGAGAGGCGACCAGCUCCAAGACCAACACGGACACGCCCUCGACGGAGCAGCGGCGCCGCGUGGCCGCCGGUACCCACGUGCUGGUCUACUACUUCCCGCGCCAGAAGCCCCGCUCGCGACCCGUGCUAGAUAGGGACCAGACCAAGUGGGAGUCGGCGCAGACGACGCGGAAGGAGCUGCUGGAGCGUCAGGUGACCUCAGCAGUGUUUGACGCCGAGCUGAGCACCAUCAACAGCCAGCUGACAGAUCUGAGCGACCAGCUGGCCAGGGCCCGCGGACACUACGGCGAGAGCCUGCAUGAGGCCACGCAGACCAAACAGGCCUUCAACACCUUCGAGGAGACCAUCGAGGGCACGGGUCGUCAGAUAGAGAACUUUGUCAGCACGGCGCACGAGUACCUGGGUGGCCCCACUGGUGAGCGGGAGCAGGCGCUGUCGCAGCUGGAGGCCCUCCAGGACCGCUGGACGGCCUUCCAGCGACAGGUGGCCGAAAACAAACACCUCACCGACCUGGCCAUCCAGUACUUCACCCUACUGGAGGAGGCGGAGGACUGGUACAAGUCGGGCGGCCGUCUUCUGGUCGACGUGGCCCGGCAGGUGUCGUGCGUCCGACGCCCUGAGGAAGCCCACCAGCUGCGGACCGACAUCGGCCAGUUCCUGACGCCGGGGGCACAGCAGCAGGCCGAGAGGCUGGAGACGGCCGGAGGACUGGCUCACCAGCUCUACGGCGCGUCGCCGCCCCGCCGGCUGGCGUCCGUCACCCAGGACAGUCAGGAGAUGGUAGAGUCGUUCGAGGCCAUCCGUACCCACCUGACCACACUGGGCGGGUCGCUGGAGCAGCUGCAGCGAGAGCACGACUCGCUCCGGCGAGAGAAGGACGAGCUUAGCGCCGAGAGGGAGGCCGCCAAACAGGAAGCGGAGGUAGCUCGCUCGGCCACUGCAGCGGCGGAUGAGGCCCGCCGAGCUGCCGAGGUGGCCGCUCGGGCUCUGGAGGACAUGCCGCGUCCCAUGACCCCGCUGGUCGUACCCAAGGUGGAUGUCUGCACGGAGACAGUCACCGAGAUUACAAAGGUGACUGUGGACCGCUCGACCCAGGAGGAGCCGCGCUCCACGUCUGACGCCAGCACUCAGGAGUCAGCUCCCUGGGAGGAGCAGGUCAUCCGGGCCUCCCCUCCCAGCGGACAGCAGGUGUCGCCACCGAAGCGACCGAAGCGCGACGAGCCGCCACCGGCGCCGCCGACUUUUACCGAGCCGCUCAGAGACCACACGGUCCAGGACGGAGUGCGGCAUACACUGCAGGCCAGAGUCUCUGGCGUGCCGGCGCCCAAGGUGAACUGGCAGAAGGACGGCGUGUCGUGCGACUCGAAUCCCGACUACGUGAUCGCGCACGAGCACGGCCUGUGCACGCUGACCAUUGAGGAGACGAUGGUGGACGACACGGGCACCUUCACCUGCCGCGCCUGGAACAGCGCCGGCGUGACGCAGAGCUCCUGUCGGCUCACCGUUAGAGACGCGGCCUCUGAGGAGGAGCUGGCGCCUCCGAUCUUCACGCGGCAGCUGACCGACUGCCGUGUUCGCGAGGGUCGCCCCCUGCUGCUGGCGGCCACCGUCACCGGAAACCCUCUGCCCGUGGUGACCUGGCUCAGGGACGGCACCUGCGUGGACGCCUCGCCAGACUACGUCAUCACGUACAACAACGGCGGCUGCGAGCUGCGGAUCGAGGAGGCCCUGCCGCAGGACGGCGGCCAGUUCGUCUGCAGGGCGUCCAACAUGCUGGGAGCCGACCAGACCAGCGCGAUGGUCAAAGUCGAACCGCGGACGCCCUCGGAGGCUCCCCGGUUCACCACACCGCUGAGUAACGUGAUGGCCCGGACCGGUCAGAAACUGCGUCUGGAGUGCGCCGUCCGCGCGCUGCCGCACCCCGAGCUCACCUGGCUGCACAACAACAAACCGGUCAGGGACAACGUCGAUGCCAAGCUCACUUUCGACGGUCGUCGGGCCACGCUUACCAUCGCCGAGCCCUUCCCCAAGGACGCUGGAACGUACACCAUCGUGGCCAACAACGCCGCCGGCCAGGCCACCUGCUCCUGUAACGUCUCAGUCAAGGGCCGUCUGCCGACGGAGACCUCGGACUCUGAGAUGGCCAGUGACCUGGAGCCGGUGAAGCCGAGCAUCCCCGUGCAGCUGAAGAACAUGACGGUCCCGGCCGGGCGGCAGGCUCAGCUCGACUGUGUCAUCACUGGUCAGCCGGAGCCAGAGGUGAUCUGGUACCACAACGACCAGCCGGUGAAGGAGUCCAAGAACUCCCAGCUGCUGUUUCACGGCGACCGGUGCACGCUGGUGAUCAACAGCGUCCGUCCCGAGGACGCCGGCACCUACACGGUGGUGGCCAUCAACUCUGCCGGAGAGGCCACGUCCGAGGCGCGGCUGGAUGUGGCGCCUGAAGACGCCGACGAGGAGCCGCCCGUGAAGCCCAAGUUCGUGAGGAGUUUCAGCAACAUUAACGCCACGGAGGGCCAGCCACUGGUGCUGGAAGCUGAGGUGGCUGAUGAGUCCGAACCACUGGUCAUCUGGCUCAAAGACGGCAGUGAACUGAAGCCGUCCGAGAGCGUGAAGAUCACACGGACCGGGGGAGUGUGCCGACUGGAGAUCGCCAGUCUGCUGCCCCAGCACGCCGGUACCUACCUCUGCCUGGCUUCAAACGCUGCUGGAGAAGCACGCUGCCUGAGCCGGGUGGUCGUCAAGCCGGGCGAACCCAAACAGAAACAAAAACGCCGGGAGGAGUCCCAGCCGCGGCAGGAGAUGCAGCAUGAGAUACACCAGGAAACGUACCAGGAGACAAGACAGGAGAAACAGCAGGAGACGGAGCCCCAGCAGCAGCAAAAGCAGCAGACUCCCGGGAGGAGGGGCUCGCUCCGCCGCCGUCUGCCGCCGUCGUUUGUGCAGAUUUUUGUCGAUCAGGAGGCCGAACCAGGAGACGAGGUGCUCUUUGAGUGCAUCAUCAACGGCUGGCCGAAGCCCACGGUUGAGUGGCUACUAGACGACGGCCCCCUGCCGGCCGGUUUCAACACCUCAUCGGACGGACAGCUACACGUGCUGCGCAUCGCGUGCGGCGAUCACGUGCCCUGCGGCCAGAUCAAGUGUGUGGCCGAAAAUGACAUAGGAAAGGCUACGUGUGCCGCCCAUCUUUCCGGAGCAGACUUCUCCAACGGCUCUACCGGACGGAAGUCUCGAAAAUCAACAAAGAAAACUACUUAUGUGGAAACAAGAGAAGAAACUGAGGUGAUUAACGGGGACCAGCGCCGAGGGAGCAGCGCCGAGCAGCGCUACAGCGAGGAGGAGACUCACUCCGGAGUGGCCGAGGGACGCAAGAAACAGGUGCUGCGGUCCAGCCACGAGAGGAGUAAGGAGGCGCGCCGGCACAGGAUGGAGGACUCGGCGGAGGAGGACGGCGAGCGGCCCGUGCAGCCGCCGCGCUUCACCACUCCGCUGCAGGGCACCGUGGUGCACGAGGGAGAGAGCGUCAAACUCACCGGACAGUACUCAGGGCGCCCAAAGAUCACGUGGUUCAAGGACGGCGUGGAACUGGACGCUGAUUCGAGUGCCGUGACGUCAUUUGACGACAGUCACGUGACCCUGACCAUCGAGUCGGCCGGCGAACAGGACGAGGGCAAGUACACGUGUCAGCUGAAGAAUGCAGCCGGGACCUCCAAGAGCACCGCCGAACUGCUCGUCAGAAAGAUCAUCGAGCCGCCGACGUUCGACCAGCGCCUGGAGGCCCAGGUCGUGCUGCCCGGUCAGAAGGCCGUCCUGGAGGUCAAGGUCAGUGGCCUGCCACCGCCGAAGGUCACGUGGACCCGAGAUGGACGACCAAUCAGCGACGGAGAAAACGGUGUCGUCAUCUCCCAGAACGAGAAUCAUCAUACGCUCACCAUUGAGAACGUGACGCACGACCAUGCAGGGAAAUACGGCUGCUCAGCGAAAAACGACGGCGGCGAGUCGACCUCGAUCGCCGAUUUUCUCGUCACCGAUGUCAUGCCUGACGUCAUCGAGAGACGCGUCAUAUCACAUGACGUUACUGACGGAGAGCCGACGGUGACGGAAACGAAGGAGGUGGUUCCCGCCUCCAGCGAGUCUGCCAUCGACACCGAGGAGGCCAACCUGUCCCCUUCCUCAUCCUCGACCAAACGGCACUCCCACAAACACAAGAAAAAGAAGAAAGACAAAGAUAAGGAAAACGAUAAGGAUGGAAAGAAAAAGAAGUCCAAGAAACACAAGAGCAUGUCUCAGGAAAGCAUGGACAGCGUUGCCGAUUCUGAAGACGCUGCUGCACCGGAGGGUGCUGAAGAACCAGCUGGUGGCGAUGAAUCUCAUCACAAGAAGAGGCGCUCUUCGUCCUCCUCGAAAAAGAAGUCUAAAAAGUUGGCCAAAGAGGAGAGCAGCGAGGCCAUACCUAGCGAUCAUGGACCAGAAGGUAAGGAACCAGAUGUACAAACUGCUGAAGUUGAAAGACCAAAUGUACAGCCCGACUCUGGCAAUGUGCCUGUGCCAGACCAAAAGCAGAAAGAACCCGAGCCCCAGCCGAAGUCGGAAGACGGCGCCGAUGAGCCAAUGCGUGAAGAGCCCGAUGCAGAAUAUAUCGUAGAAGAGCCAGUUGAUAAAACUGAUACCGAAAUAGGACCUACGAGUGAAGAUGAGAUUCAGGGGCUGCGGGAGCGGGUCGUGCCCGUUGACGUUGAAAAGCCAGAAAAUGUUGACGUCAAAGUGGACGAAACAAUAAAGGAAGAGGUCGAGCCAGAUGAAGCAAUGGAAGAAGAUAUCCCUGACAAGAGUCCAGAAGCCGAGUCUCCGGAAAACGUAGAAGAAGAGGUUCCCACAGCUGAGGUCAAAUUGGUUUCAAAGGAACCCAAGAAGCCAAGCCCUCAGGACAAACCUGCACUUGCAGAACAAGUUGAUGAGGAUGAGCCGAUGGAUGCAGAUGCUUCUGAAGAGCCAGCUGUAUUUACCGCGCGACUUGGAGGAGAGGUUGCACCGGAAUCCGAUGCCGAUGGGGAAAUGACUGAAGAGGAGGACGUUCAGGUAACCCAAGUAGUGAAACUAUCUACACGACCUAACGAAGCGGCACAAGUUGAAGAAUCUCGGGAACAAGACGAAGAAGAGACAGGUGGAGACCAGUCAGACCAUAUAGACACUGAAGCAGUAGCAGAGUUCAUUAUCAAAGCACCGCCAUCGAGUGGGGAGCAGGAUGAACAGCAUGAGGAGCAAGAGAUGACAGAGGAACCGGGUCAGCAUUCAACGGUUAUUCCAGAAGCUGAGGCAUCAAAUGACGCCUCGAAAGAAAAGUAUCCAACGUCUGAUGAAGAGGAUUUAGCAGAAAAACCACGGUCCGAUGCGGCUAUGCCAGAAACUGAACUAUCCGAGGAAGCUCCUGCUGAAGCAGUAGAUACGAAGUUAAACGUGGAGCCAGUCACCGAAGCAAAGAUGGAUGACGCUCUCCCUACACAAAAAGAUGCCAAACCAAUUGCAAAGCCGGACGCGGAGGAAAACGUUAGCGAUGAAUCAAGUCAAAUAAAAUCCAAACAUGCUGAAGAAGUAAUUGGAAUGUCUGAAUCCGAGGAAGAAUAUCUCCAAGAUUCCGGAAGACAAUCUUCAGUGGAUGCGGAAGAUAUCCCCACCAUAGAUGAAAAUAAAUCAGAGCCUAAACUAGCUAACGGAGAUGCCAAUGAAGAGCUUGAAGAAGAGCAUCAGCUUCUCCCAGAGGCCAAGGAAGCCGAAGAAGAGAAAGCGAGGAUCCAUUCGCCUCUUCUACGAUCUGACGGAGAAGAGGUUCGCUCUGAAGAUUUCGAAGAUUCAGAAAUGCCGCCUCUAAUCAAGAAAGAACCAUCUCUGGAAAAUGCUCCAACUGAAUCUACGACUCAGGACGAUGCAAACAAAGAAGCUGUCACUAAUGAGAAAAUUGACACUGAAGCUUCUACUUCCAAUGAAAAGCACGUUCGAUUUGGUGGAGAAAUGAGAAGAGAAAUUAGUGACGAUGAUGAGCAUAUGGAGGAUGUUCACCCCGAAGAAGAGCCGCUCUCGAAACAAGAGCUGGAACUGCUGCAUUCCACUAAUGAGGCUCCGACUGAAGAAGACGUUCCGGAGGAUGAAUCUCCAGUUAUGCCUGAACUCCCCGAUCAAGAAGCUGCUAAUGCACCUGAAGUGGUGCUGGAGCCUGCUAAGCCUUACACAGACAUCCAUGGAGAUCUCUCGCUUCGAGCCAAUGUUGCCGUUCAGACUCCCGACAGCUUAAUGUCGUCAGGUCCCCACCUCGGUGGACCUCCGCCAACCAGUGAGAGGCCUCAUGAUCCCGUAUUCGCGGCUGUUAAUCGCUCCUCAGAAAAUGGAAUCUACCAGACCACAGACUCAGAGGCACCUUGGCAGCCCGACGCAACUCCGGCAGAGCUAACUAUCCACGCUCCCACUGAGCCUAUGUUGUAUAAAUUCGCCAAAGCUCCAACAACACCACCUCAGACGGCACCGAAACCCCGUCCUCCUGGCGCUGCGCCCGGGGUCCGUCCUCCCCCAGGUUUCACCAUUCCACCCCCACCGCCACUGCCCCCAAGCACCGAGCCUGCAGAAGCCCCACACCAGAUGACCGGAGCUCCACCCCCGGGCGUGUUCCGCGUGCCGGUCGUGGCGCCAUACGCGGAGCGGAUGGGGGUUCAAACCUCCCAGAGCACCAUGACCACAUUUGGAGGCGAGGCGCAGAUUUCCGCCGCGGUCGGCACCGCUCCUGCUCAAUCGCCCUUGUCUCCGCAGGCGCCAGCAUUUGUGCGGGGCCGCAGUCCCAUCUCGCCAGUACGGCCUCCGGUGGCAAAGUCGCCUCUCUCACCCGUGAGUGGCUAUCAGGGUGUCCCUUCGCAGAGUCUGACUUCCUCUGCACCCCUGCCAAGUUCUGUAUCCAGCCCAGCCGUCAACUCGGCGCCAUGGUACAAGGACGACAAAACGCAGGGCAUUCGAGUUACAUCUGUCACACAUAAGCCGGCUCACCUCACGGUCUCGGCGCUCACAAGAAAAAUUAACAUGCCACCCUUGGCUUCCCACGACGCACCUCAGUACACCACUGAGACGAUCAUGGUCGAAAAUAUAUCUCAACCAAACCAGGGUCCAUCCAUGACAAGCGAAACAGAUGAACAAUUUUCAUCCGUGCAGCAAAGCUAUCAAAGGCAAGAUUCGUCAACUCCGUCUACGCCCUCUGGUUUUGCGCCAGUGAAGGCGCCUGUUUCCCCUCAGCCGCAAUAUCAAAUUCCAUCUUCCAUGCAGAACACCUCAGAUACAUACAAGACGGAAAAGGCGCUCAGCAUCGCGCCAGUGAAAGCGCCGGUUUCUCCGGUCCCCACGUCCACCCCUGACGAAGAGCAACCACCUCGCGGAGUUUCCUCGAUAAUCAAGUCGAUAGAGUCCAACGCUAUUUCAACCUGGAAACCAGAUCGUCCGCCCGGUUUUGCUCCUGUCCGUGCGCCAAUGUCACCAGCUCCCGUAUCUCCAGUUCCAUCGUCUCAGCUUCAGCGUUCUUACUCAGGUGGUCAAGUAAGCAGUAUGGCUUCGUCUCAGACCACGUCCAACGCCAGCUGGAUGACCGACCGAAGAGAGUGGUCGUCUUGUGCUGAGCAGAAGUACGAGGAGACCCAGCCGGUGGCAGCUCCCCCUGGUGUGGUGUACACAUAUGUUGCUCGAGCCGGUCCUGCGCGACACCAACAGUGGACUCCGGUGGAAGAAACGCGCCAGCAGACGUGGCAGCAGGAGCAGCGCAGCGCCCAGUGGACCUCCUCGCAGGCCACCCGCUCUGAUCAGUACGGUUCACCUCGCGCCGCGCUGCCUCGUCGCUCCGCCAGUUCUGUGGGAGAAAUGCGGCGGAGAAUUGACACGGACACGCGGGAGCAGCAACAGACACAGGAUACGUUCAGGCGUCUGGCGCGCGAGCGACAGAGCUCUGCGCCGCCUCCGCCACUGCCACCUUACCCAGAGCCAGCAAGGUUAAAGCAAGUGGUCCGUGCUCCUACGCCGUCCAAAUUCAUCCCCGGACGCUUCUCGGGAUCGCAUUACCACAGCGACCUCGACGAACGCAUCCCGACGCGUUGGUGGCCGGACGGUUACGAGUACAUCGACCGUCGCAGGAUUCUGGUGAGCUUGCCGGAGGCUCGAGGCCGGCAGAGGCGCGGCCGCUCGGUGACACCCCCGUCCGUGUACGACCGCCCGGCGCCAGUCCGGGAGACGCCUCCGGAGCGUCCUCCCGUGGUCGGACUGCCGAUCACCCGCGGAAGGACGACAGUCAGAGGCUCGACGGUUGUCCAGAGAUCAGUCUCUGCGCCGCCACGGAGGAUGUCAGCGCCUGAGGUGCCUCGGGCGCCGCGUGAGAGGGCUCCGGGGAGGAGUGAAGUGGACAGCAACUGGCAGAGGGAGCGGGAUGGAUCGUGGCAGAGGCGGGAGGUCAGACAGGAGGUGACGAGGGCACAGCAGGGAGGAUGGACCCGCCAGUCCGUGUCGCCUGUACCACCGCCAAGGCGGAUGGCGUCACCGAGGCCGGUGCCCCCACCGAAGCCUGUUGCACCACCACCGCCGCCGGUCUCUAACGAGAUCACGAGAACAGCCAACGAAAUUUCAGAAAGCAUGCAGAAAAUGACAAACGAGAGCACGUUCCUGAAGAAGACGCCACCGAUCGUUCACCCUCCACCAGUUGCUCAGCCUGUGAUAAAGCCGGUAGCUCCUCCGAAACCGGCACCACAGCGCAUCUCUAAAACCGAUCAGACAGACUACAGGAGCUCCCAGACGGUUACUAAGACCAAUGAGCAAAGUUUAUACCAGCAGCAACAGCAGCAGCAGCAGCAGCAGCAGCAGCAGCAGCAGCAGUUAUAUGAGCAGCAGCGGCGGCAACAACAACAGUAUCAGCAACAACUGAAACAAGAACAGGAACGACAACAGCAGCAAUAUCAGCAACAAUUAAAACGAGAACAAGAGCAAAAACAACAACAGCAGUAUGAACAACAACUUAAACGACAACAGGAACAAUAUCAGCUAUUGAAACGGCAAGAAGAGGAGAGACAGCGACAGCAACAAUAUCAACAACAACUGAAGCAGCAAGAACAGCAGCAGAAGGCCAUAGCUCGCGUUCCAACGCCCAUCUUGAAGCCAACCCAGCCCGUCUCCAUCCCUCACACCAACCUGACGCAGCUUGGCGUCAACCAGCAGAACUUCUGUGACAAGCAGCGCACACACGAGUCCCUGGACGGUCCGGGCGUGCGGGGCUUCCACGACACGGCGGCGAAGGAGUCGCGCCAGUUCAACCGACAACAGUCGGGCGGUACCACCACGGUCGAAAUGCGCGUCGAGAAGAUGUUCGAAGAGCGCAUGGAGAAAACAGAGUUCACGGACGCCAGCGGAAGGACAGUGACUAUGUCGUCGUCGGUACCGAGCAGGCCGACGCACCUGGCGCUGGCACCAGCCUCACCACAGCCGAUUGUGACCUCUCCGGUGCCAGACCGAGGAUCUCCAGCGCCCAGUUUCCAGCGCGGGUGGCAGCAGCGCUCCAGUAUAUCCAGCUCAUCACGAGGCCGAGGCAGUCCGUGUGGCUACACCUCAGACGCCGGGGGGUACACAUCGGAGCCUGAACUGGUGUCGCUCCCCUCACACAAGAACGUGGCGCCACCGGCGGCCCCUCCGCGCGCCUCUCAGAGUCAGACCAUGACGAAGGGGUACACCGGCUCUCUGGACAGGAGAACAGUUGGUCAGACUCCGCCAUCGUCACUGAACGUGCAUCGAAAGGCAUCAGACGCCAGCGACUACGAGUCCCGACUGGCGACCAAGUGGACGCCGUCCGACGUGGCACACCGCACGUCCAGCCCGUUCCGUCCAGUUCAGGCACCGGCGCCAGCACCGGGCAGCAGCAGUCGCGGCCAGCAGUGGUCCGAGUCCAUGUCCAAGGCGCGCGAAUCCUCUUCCCAGGAGGGCAACACCACCACCCACGUCAAGGAGGAGUUCCACAGCCAGAAGAUGAUGCGGGAGGAGACGACGACCAGCGUGCUGCCGGCCGGAGCUGUCAGCAUGGCGCCGCUGCACUCACCGCUGCCAGCGCGGGCUAUCCAACCCCGUUCUCCGCUGCUUCUUCGCGCCGCGCCGCCCUCCGGCAGUGCGUCCGGGCACGACCAGGAGGACCAGUCCUCGGUGUCUGAUGAUGAGAUCGCCUCCUCCCUGCCGGGCGAAGGUCCUACCGUUUCCCUGCCCGUCACAUCCUCCCCCGUAUCCUGUACGGCUGAAUCGGUGUCGGAGGCGCCAGAGGUGGUGCGAGGAGGUCCACUCCCGCGGCUAGCUAGGUGGUUGAAAAGUCAGGCCGCUGGACUGACCAGGAGAUCGUAGAAAAGUCCGUAUCGUCGCACAAGUGGGAGCGUUCCACGCCGGGCGUCCGCCGGCCCGCCGCGCCCCCUGCCGACUCCGACGACCGGCCGACAGAGCCGUCUGUGAGCCGUCGCGGCAGUCAGGGAGCCCGGCCGGCCGGCGACGGCCCCCGUCAGCCGCCGUACCGCGCCCGGUCACCGCCGCCCAGACCCGCCCGCCGCAGUGAUAGCCGAGAGCGAGACGGCGACUCGCCCUCCGCCAGCGCGCUGGUGCGACCCACCCGCCGAGCAGACGACUCGGCGACGACCACGCGAUACGAGAGCUUUGGCGAGUUGUCGACAAGAGAGGUGUCGACGCAUCACGAUACCUCGACGCGGAAGGACAGCUCUAUGCGCCGAGAGGUGUCGAUGCGCCAGGAGUCGAGCACGACGCGAGUGCACCAGGAGAUCAGUCACCAGGUGGUGUCGCAGUCGCAGCAGGUUCGGAGGGAGUUCCGGCUGUCGGACCUGCCCGACCCGGGAGGACCCCGCCGCGGCCAGCGCGCCCUACCGGCCAGCGGGAGGCAGUACUCACCCUCGCCCGAGCCGGAGUCGAUUCCCAAACGGAGGGAGACUCCGGAGCCGAGCGAGCGGCACUACAAGGCGCAGCUGGUGGUCAAACUGUCUGAUGAGAGGACGUCCCCGCCGUCUGAGAGCCCGGCGAAGAAGUCUUCUCGAGCUUCCCAGGACAGGGAAAGGUUCACCCGAUCUUCUGAGGAUAGGGACAGACCCUCGCCGGGUUCAAAUGACAGAGAGAAAACGCCUCUGAACUUUAACGACAGAGACUCGUUCCCGCGAACACAGAAGAACAGCAGGUUGUUUUCUCGCGCCUCUGAGGAUCGGGAAACCUCCCACUACGUCUCUAAGGACAGCGGGCUGUCCUCGCACCGCGUCUCUGAGGACAGGAGUUCGUCUCUGCGCCGCUCUGAGGAGCGCAGUGUGGAGGAGAGGAGUGAGGUGACGCGGACACAGACUGUGAGGAGCAGCGGCCGGGGAGCAGCGCCGGGACGGCCGGAUAGGACCGCGCACAGCCAGAGUCGGUCUCCGUCGCCUCCGGCGCUGCUGAAGGAGGAUCACCCGCAGCGAGGUGGAAAGACAGCCGGGUCCCACUUUAGAACGGAGAGAAUCACCACUGCGAGCCGCUCGUACGGUCCGGUGGACUCUCCCCCAGCACGGGACCGACCUCAGGGAGAGAAGGAGAGGGCGUCCUCCGUGAACUCGGCCGGCCACCGCAGCCACUCGCCCUCUGACGACGAGCGUGGCCCGGUGGACAGCGGUGGAAGGUGGACGGCGGAGGCGGUGGAGAGCGCCCUGCAGCGGAGUCGUCUGAACGGCCGGGCCAAACAGGCCAACGGACGGCACUCGGCACCCGCGGAGAAGGCGCCGAAGGAGAAUGCGGACUCAGCGCUGCUGCGCGCGCCCGUGCUGCUGCGGCCCCUCGCCGACCACACGGUCCGUCCGGGAGCCGUCACCCAGCUGCGGCUGAUUGUGGACGCCCUGCCGCCACCCUCGGUCACCUGGUACAAGGACGGCCGGCAGCUGGAGCCGCGGCCCGACGCGCCCUACGCCAUCUCAGAGGACGGAGGGGUGUGCACACUCUCACUGCCGCGAGCUCAUCCCGACGACUCUGGGGUCUACUGCUGUGUCGCCACCAACCACCUCGGCUCCGUCUGCAGCGAGGCGCUGCUGGCCGUCGCAGGUGAGCUCUAGACUCCUCCCUCUCUCCCUCCGUCGUCCCACUGCCUCCUCCCGGUCGGCGGGAGGCCCUCUCCAAUGCUGGUCAGACUCGUUGCGCAGUGGAUGACGUUUUUAUAGCUGCGCUGCGCGGUGACGAACGUUUUACGGCGGCCGAUAUGGUGAUUACGUUGUGAUGGCGGUCGGUCAAAUAACUAGCUUGUGAUGAUUGGUUGAAUCAUUGGUAAACAAUAGCGGCUUGUCGAACGAUACUGUGACAAAGGGGCUGUCCGAAAUCUCCGCGGCGGUGACGGCGGCCGGCGGAUCGCGUCCCGGCGUGGGAAAAACUUUCACGAACGAUGGAAUCUCUGCGCACUGUGCGCUGGCAACAAAGACGAUACGGAACGCUCGCUUGCGGCUUAGACUUUUUAGACAGCUUCUAGUCAGGACUAGACAUAGUCGUAGACGUUGCAUCUAGCGCUCGGUGCUUGCGGCUGCUGUGGUGACCUCGUGUGAAGGUGUGUUCGGUCGAUAACAUGUUACGUGUAGAGUGUGCGUGGAGCGUGGUAUUUGGACAGCGACCUGGUCGCAUUCGGUGAUGUAAAUAGCACGGCGGCGCCGCGCCGCCUCGUGAUACGCGCCGAGCCUCGUGACUGCUUGUGAUUGACUCCGCAUCUCUGGCCUUUGGUGACCUGUCGUGGCCCAGGUCGGCCCUCGGGUCGACCUGACGUCCGUCUAUGCCGGUACUAAUCAAAUAAAUAACUCACGUGGCAGGCCGUCAGCGCCGCCCGGCGGCAGCUCGGCGAACUACUGGACUGAAUAAACGUUCACAAACACUC
RNA transcript from Amphibalanus amphitrite, 15690 nucleotides. It is a transcript of the gene named muscle M-line assembly protein unc-89-like, with no coding region annotated. The record is from RefSeq and is a predicted model, not a curated record. The transcript is spliced from 46 exons. Lineage: Eukaryota; Metazoa; Arthropoda; Thecostraca; Balanomorpha; Balanidae.